GAACGGUAGCACGAAGGAGCUUGCUCCUUGGGUGACGAGUGGCGGACGGGUGAGUAAUGCUCGGGAAUCUGGCUUAUGGAGGGGGAUAACUACGGGAAACUGUAGCUAAUACCGCGUAAUAUCUUCGGAUUAAAGUGUGGGACCGUAAGGCCACAUGCCAUAAGAUGAGCCCAAGUGGGAUUAGGUAGUUGGUGGGGUAAAGGCCUACCAAGCCGACGAUCUCUAGCUGGUCUGAGAGGAUGACCAGCCACACUGGAACUGAGACACGGUCCAGACUC
RNAcentral lists this ribosomal RNA (278 nucleotides) under uncultured bacterium. Its description in RNAcentral is "partial 16S ribosomal RNA". It matches the Rfam family "Bacterial small subunit ribosomal RNA", at positions 64 to 338 of the family's 1533-position model. The record is from RNAcentral.